GGGGCUUACUAUUUUUAACAUUUUUAUUUUCUUUUCAAGAUGAUAUGAACUUGAUUAACUAAGCAAACUAUUUUAAAUAAUUGAAAGGAAAAAGGUAACUACCAAGUUUACGUCUUGGUAAGGCGUUCAGUGUUUUUGAGUCCUCCGAACGGGACUCUCCGUUUUCUCAAUCGUCCUGGGAUUUGCUGGGUGGCGUAGUCGGUGGUUCCGGCGGCGCCUCCUCUUCGUGUAUAACUAUCUUUUCUUUCUGACUCGAUGCUAUGGUCUCCUCAGGACAGUUCUGUUCAAGCUGUAUGUCUUCAGACCUUAUCACUUCUCCUUCGUAGUCUACCC
Molecule: long non-coding RNA, 333 nt
Filed under: Sorghum bicolor (sorghum)
Lineage: Eukaryota; Viridiplantae; Streptophyta; Magnoliopsida; Poales; Poaceae
Description: long non-coding RNA (SBIC_LNC002697)
Source: RNAcentral